RNAcentral lists this unclassified non-coding RNA (330 nucleotides) under soil metagenome. RNAcentral describes it as "partial contains 5.8S ribosomal RNA, internal transcribed spacer 2, and large subunit ribosomal RNA". The stretch from base 1 to 120 matches the Rfam family "5.8S ribosomal RNA", at positions 35 to 154 of the family's 154-position model. The record is from RNAcentral.
GAUGAAGGACGUAGCGAAAUGCGAUAAGUAAUGUGAAUUGCAGAAUUCAGUGAAUCAUCGAAUCUUUGAACGCACAUUGCGCCCCCUGGUAUUCCGGGGGGCAUGCCUGUUCGAGCGUCAUUUCACCACUCAAGCCUCGCUUGGUAUUGGGCAACGCGGUCCGCCGCGUGCCUCAAAUCGACCGGCUGGGUCUUCUGUCCCCUAAGCGUUGUGGAAACUUUCGCUAAAGGGUGUUCGGGAGGCUACGCCGUAAAACAACCCCAUUUCUAAGGUUGACCUCGGAUCAGGUAGGGAUACCCGCUGAACUUAAGCAUAUCAAUAAGCGGAGGA